GUGUCAUCAGGUGUGAAUUAUUGAAAAAAUUACCGAUCUACUGCUAAAUGUUCAUCACACAUUUUACAAUUUUAAUAAAAACAAAGGAGUAAUAAAUGCGUUGAUUUUCUUACGCUACACAUUACUGUUCUCGUAACGUUAUUGAAGUAUUAAGUACAUCGUCUCAUUAAGCAGAGUUUUAUUUAUAAUAGUUCUUUGGUACACAUAUCAUGUUGUAUGCCCUAGAAAAUAUAUCAUUGUGAAAAACUGUAACGAUUCCAGAUUUAUUUUUACCAAGAAUGACAUCAUCAUUUCAGCAGACAGUUGAUAUUCCAAUAUGUACUAAAAGUGCGUCACUACAAGUUGACACGGUUUUGUCUUCAAAGGAAUUAACAGUCAUGCAAAACUAUCUUAAA
RNAcentral lists this long non-coding RNA (395 nucleotides) under Mytilus galloprovincialis (Mediterranean mussel). The record is from RNAcentral. Lineage: Eukaryota; Metazoa; Mollusca; Bivalvia; Mytilida; Mytilidae.